This 506-nucleotide ribosomal RNA is filed under the name uncultured organism. RNAcentral describes it as "SSU rRNA". It matches the Rfam family "Bacterial small subunit ribosomal RNA", at positions 8 to 509 of the family's 1533-position model. The record is from RNAcentral.
AGAGUUUGAUCCUGGCUCAGGACGAACGCUGGCGGCGUGCUUAACACAUGCAAGUCGAACGGGGAUUACCGAGCGGAAGGUUUCGGCCGGAAGGUUGGUAAUUCGAGUGGCGGACGGGUGAGUAACGCGUGAACAAUCUGUCCCAGACAGGGGGAUAACACUUGGAAACAGGUGCUAAUACCGCAUAAGACCACGGAUUCGCAUGGAUCAGGGUAAAAGGAGUAAUCCAGUUUGGGGUGAGUUCGCGUCCGAUUAGAUAGUUGGUGAGGUAACGGCCCACCAAGUCGACGAUCGGUAGCCGAUCUGAGAGGAUGACCGGCCACAUUGGAACUGAGAGACGGUCCAAACUCCUACGGGAGGCAGCAGUGGGGAAUAUUGGGCAAUGGGCGAAAGCCUGACCCAGCAACGCCGCGUGAGUGAAGAAGGCCUUCGGGUUGUAAAGCUCUGUUAUGCGAGAAGAAGGACGUGACGGUAUCGCAUAAGGAAGCCCCGGCUAACUACGUGCC